AUACGGAGGGGGCUAGCGUUGUUCGGAAUUACUGGGGGUAAAGCGCGCGUAGGCGGCUUGCCAAGUUGGGCGUGAAAGCCCGGGGCUCAACCCCGGAAUUGCGCUCGAAACUGGUAGGCUAGAGACCGGGAGAGGAGAGUGGAAUUCCCAGUGUAGAGGUGAAAUUCGUAGAUAUUGGGAAGAACACCAGUGGCGAAGGCGGCUACCUGGACCGGUUCUGACGCUGAGGUGCGAAAGCGUGGGGAGCAAACAGGAUUAGAUACCCCGGUAGUCC
RNAcentral lists this ribosomal RNA (274 nucleotides) under uncultured bacterium. RNAcentral describes it as "partial 16S ribosomal RNA". It matches the Rfam family "Bacterial small subunit ribosomal RNA", at positions 523 to 796 of the family's 1533-position model. The record is from RNAcentral.